GAGGGUAUAGCUCAGUGGUAGAGUGUAUGGCUGAGCAUGCAUGAGGUCCUGGGUUCAAUCCCCGGUACCUCCA
This 73-nucleotide transfer RNA is filed under the name Camelus bactrianus (Bactrian camel). It matches the Rfam family "tRNA". From Rfam's summary of the family: Transfer RNA (tRNA) molecules are approximately 80 nucleotides in length. Their secondary structure includes four short double-helical elements and three loops (D, anti-codon, and T loops). RNAcentral also lists the same sequence under 2 other names. The record is from Rfam by way of RNAcentral. Lineage: Eukaryota; Metazoa; Chordata; Mammalia; Artiodactyla; Camelidae.